GGCCCUGUGGCCUAAUGGUAAGGCGUUGGUUUUCGGUUCCUAAACCACCAAAGAUUGUGCGUUCGAGUCGCAUCGGGGUCG
Molecule: transfer RNA, 81 nt
Filed under: Pyronema domesticum
Lineage: Eukaryota; Fungi; Ascomycota; Pezizomycetes; Pezizales; Pyronemataceae
Also listed under: 1 other name
Description: tRNA-Arg
Rfam family: tRNA
About the family: Transfer RNA (tRNA) molecules are approximately 80 nucleotides in length.
Source: RNAcentral